UACAUUAUACAGAUGUGUAGAAUAGCAAC
This 29-nucleotide small RNA is filed under the name Bombyx mori (domestic silkworm). Its description in RNAcentral is "ovarian small RNA-20457". Lineage: Eukaryota; Metazoa; Arthropoda; Insecta; Lepidoptera; Bombycidae. The record is from RNAcentral.